UAGGGAAUCUUCCACAAUGGACGAAAGUCUGAUGGAGCAACGCCGCGUGAGUGAAGAAGGGUUUCGGCUCGUAAAACUCUGUUGUUAAAGAAGAACAUAUCUGAGAGUAACUGUUCAGGUAUUGACGGUAUUUAACCAGAAAGCCACGGGCUAAACUACGUGCCAG
RNAcentral lists this ribosomal RNA (166 nucleotides) under uncultured bacterium. Its description in RNAcentral is "partial 16S rRNA". It matches the Rfam family "Bacterial small subunit ribosomal RNA", at positions 355 to 511 of the family's 1533-position model. The record is from RNAcentral.